RNAcentral lists this ribosomal RNA (313 nucleotides) under uncultured bacterium. RNAcentral describes it as "bacterial SSU rRNA". It matches the Rfam family "Bacterial small subunit ribosomal RNA", at positions 28 to 341 of the family's 1533-position model. The record is from RNAcentral.
GACGAACGCUGGCGGCGUGCUUAACACAUGCAAGUCGAGCGGUAAGGCCCUUUCGGGGGUACACGAGCGGCGAACGGGUGAGUAACACGUGGGUAAUCUACCCUUGGGUGGGGAAUAACCAGUCGAAAGAUUGGCUAAUACCGCAUAAUGCAGCGGCUCGACAUCGAGACAGUUGUUAAAGCAGCAAUGCGCCUGGGGAGGAGCCUGCGUCUGAUUAGCUUGUUGCGGGUAACGGCCCACAAGGCUACGAUCAGUAGCUGGUCUGAGAGGACGGCCAGCCACAAAUGGCACUGAAACACGGGCCAUACUCCUA